Molecule: small nucleolar RNA, 201 nt
Filed under: Neogobius melanostomus (round goby)
Lineage: Eukaryota; Metazoa; Chordata; Actinopteri; Gobiiformes; Gobiidae
Description: Small nucleolar RNA SNORD17 (ENSNMLG00000005333.1)
Rfam family: Small nucleolar RNA SNORD17
About the family: The snoRNA HBI-43 belongs to the C/D family of snoRNAs, guiding 2'O-ribose methylation at position U3797 of the 28S rRNA.
Source: Rfam by way of RNAcentral
GUGGUGUGAUGAACUUGUUUAUCCAUUCUCUGAGCUCUGAUUGGCUGCUGCUCGUUGUCACGGCGACGCUCCCGUUCUGGGGGCGUGGCCUGUCCGCACGGUAUUCGGCGUCUGUCGGCGUUCUGUCGAGAGGCGUCCGGCGCCGUGCGGACACACGAAGCUCUGCCUCCGAGCGAAGACGAGACAAACAGAUCUGAUCAC